RNAcentral lists this ribosomal RNA (1024 nucleotides) under Escherichia coli. Its description in RNAcentral is "partial 23S ribosomal RNA". It matches the Rfam family "Bacterial large subunit ribosomal RNA", at positions 582 to 1609 of the family's 2925-position model. Lineage: Bacteria; Pseudomonadati; Pseudomonadota; Gammaproteobacteria; Enterobacterales; Enterobacteriaceae. The record is from RNAcentral.
CGCUUAGGCGUGUGACUGCGUACCUUUUGUAUAAUGGGUCAGCGACUUAUAUUCUGUAGCAAGGUUAACCGAAUAGGGGAGCCGAAGGGAAACCGAGUCUUAACUGGGCGUUAAGUUGCAGGGUAUAGACCCGAAACCCGGUGAUCUAGCCAUGGGCAGGUUGAAGGUUGGGUAACACUAACUGGAGGACCGAACCGACUAAUGUUGAAAAAUUAGCGGAUGACUUGUGGCUGGGGGUGAAAGGCCAAUCAAACCGGGAGAUAGCUGGUUCUCCCCGAAAGCUAUUUAGGUAGCGCCUCGUGAAUUCAUCUCCGGGGGUAGAGCACUGUUUCGGCAAGGGGGUCAUCCCGACUUACCAACCCGAUGCAAACUGCGAAUACCGGAGAAUGUUAUCACGGGAGACACACGGCGGGUGCUAACGUCCGUCGUGAAGAGGGAAACAACCCAGACCGCCAGCUAAGGUCCCAAAGUCAUGGUUAAGUGGGAAACGAUGUGGGAAGGCCCAGACAGCCAGGAUGUUGGCUUAGAAGCAGCCAUCAUUUAAAGAAAGCGUAAUAGCUCACUGGUCGAGUCGGCCUGCGCGGAAGAUGUAACGGGGCUAAACCAUGCACCGAAGCUGCGGCAGCGACGCUUAUGCGUUGUUGGGUAGGGGAGCGUUCUGUAAGCCUGUGAAGGUGUGCUGUGAGGCAUGCUGGAGGUAUCAGAAGUGCGAAUGCUGACAUAAGUAACGAUAAAGCGGGUGAAAAGCCCGCUCGCCGGAAGACCAAGGGUUCCUGUCCAACGUUAAUCGGGGCAGGGUGAGUCGACCCCUAAGGCGAGGCCGAAAGGCGUAGUCGAUGGGAAACAGGUUAAUAUUCCUGUACUUGGUGUUACUGCGAAGGGGGGACGGAGAAGGCUAUGUUGGCCGGGCGACGGUUGUCCCGGUUUAAGCGUGUAGGCUGGUUUUCCAGGCAAAUCCGGAAAAUCAAGGCUGAGGCGUGAUGACGAGGCACUACGGUGCUGAAGCAACAAAUGCCCUGCUUCC